This 384-nucleotide long non-coding RNA is filed under the name Mustela putorius furo (domestic ferret). Its description in RNAcentral is "lncRNA (ENSMPUG00000026850.1)". The record is from RNAcentral. Lineage: Eukaryota; Metazoa; Chordata; Mammalia; Carnivora; Mustelidae.
CUGUUUUAGAGAGAUAAGAUCCUUGAACCAGAGAAGAAAACUCUGAUUUUGUUGUUGUUGUUGUUGUUGUUGCUGUUGAAUUUGUUUAUUUAUUUUGAGGGUGAGAGAGAGAAAGAGAGUAGGAGAAGGGGCAGAGGGAGAGGGAGAGAGAGGAUCCCAAGCAGACUCCCUGCUGAGCACAGAGAUGAGGCAGAGCUAGAGGCCAUGACCGGAGCUGAAACCAAGAGUUGGACACUGAGCCACCCAGGAGCCACAGAAGACCCUAAUUUAAAGAAAAACCAUGCUCUGUCUGCUGAUUGGACACUGUCUACAACUAACAGUGGUCCUUUCCUGUCUGCGAUGAUUGCCAAGUGUGCACACAGCAGAUGCAAGCUGGUCUUCUAA